UACAGAGGUCUCGAGCGUUAGGCGGAAUCACUGGGCUUAAAGCGUGUGUAGGUGGAUCGUUAAGUACCUUGUGAAAUCCCACGGCUUAACCGUGGAACUGCUUGGUAUACUGGCGGUCUUGAGCCAGCUAGGGGCUACCGGAACAAAUGGUGGAGCGGUGAAAUGCGUAGAUAUCAGGAGGAACACCAGUGGCGAAGGCGCCGCUCUGGGCCGAGACUGACGCUGAGGAGCGAAAGCGUGGGUAGCAAACAGG
Molecule: ribosomal RNA, 253 nt
Filed under: uncultured bacterium
Lineage: Bacteria
Description: partial 16S ribosomal RNA
Rfam family: Bacterial small subunit ribosomal RNA
Source: RNAcentral